GGGGGUGCACCGGCUUCGACUGGUGCGGUUCGGGGUAUGGGCUGCAGAUGGAGUGCCGAGCUCCUGAUUCGGCAAAAAUUUAACUGCCAACUACGACAGUUACGAAUACGCUCUCGCAGCGUAAUCGCGUGGAACCGUUCCGCCGCCUUGAGGAACGGCUUCCGCGUCGCAAGCAAGGCUGGUUGAACUCCGGUUCCGGACGGGGCGAGACGAGAUUUUCCCGGAAUACCGACGGGCCGCGCGCCGCAUAGCCAAGUCCGCCGGGAAUAACAAUAUGCGGCUAUAUCUGUAGAGGCCCCUAUUUCGCGUAUCAGGACGCGGGUUCAACUCCCGCCACCUCCAGAA
This 345-nucleotide transfer-messenger RNA is filed under the name Treponema sp. It matches the Rfam family "transfer-messenger RNA". Rfam says of the family: Bacterial tmRNA, also known as 10Sa RNA or SsrA, is named for its dual tRNA and mRNA-like properties. Its role is to liberate the mRNA from a stalled ribosome. To accomplish this part of the tmRNA is used as a reading frame that ends in a translation stop signal. Lineage: Bacteria; Pseudomonadati; Spirochaetota; Spirochaetia; Treponematales; Treponemataceae. The record is from RNAcentral.